Molecule: small nucleolar RNA, 80 nt
Organism: Oryctolagus cuniculus (rabbit)
Lineage: Eukaryota; Metazoa; Chordata; Mammalia; Lagomorpha; Leporidae
Gene: SNORD115
Rfam family: Small nucleolar RNA SNORD115
About the family: HBII-52 is a member of the C/D class of snoRNAs, which contain the C (UGAUGA) and D (CUGA) box motifs. HBII-52 is encoded in a tandemly repeated array with another C/D snoRNA, HBII-85, in the Prader-Willi syndrome (PWS) region of chromosome 15. HBII-52 is exclusively expressed in the brain but is absent in PWS patients.
Source: Ensembl
GGGUCAAUGAUGAGACCUCAUACUGUCUUGAAUGAGAUGAUGACAUAAAAAUCAUGCUCAAUAGGAUUACGCUGAGGCCC